AUUUUACUAAUAUCUAAAUGAUCGAAACUGAAUGACAAUAGAAAAUAAAUUUAACUCUAAAGAACUCAAUGAAAGCUGAAUCAAAAUUCGAUUGAUAAAGCACUAGGGUAUAUCUGAUUUCACUUGGACCAAUUAUCAAUUCCAGCUAUUUCGAUUAAUAAUCCAAAUUUAAUUAUUAAUGUAAGGAUAAAUAAUCCUAAAUUAUUUAAUAAUCUCUCCUGAGUCUUAUUAAAUAUACUAAUUAAAACCUAUAAUCUAUCUUCCAAUAGUAAAAUAGAUUUCAAUUAGUUCAACAAGCACAGUGAUUAUUUUCAAGAUCCCACAGGUCAAAUCUUCUGCCCUCGCUCCAAUU
RNAcentral lists this long non-coding RNA (352 nucleotides) under Elaeis guineensis (African oil palm). RNAcentral's name for it is "long non-coding RNA (EGUI_LNC032702)". Lineage: Eukaryota; Viridiplantae; Streptophyta; Magnoliopsida; Arecales; Arecaceae. The record is from RNAcentral.